Molecule: long non-coding RNA, 1025 nt
Organism: Bos taurus (domestic cattle)
Lineage: Eukaryota; Metazoa; Chordata; Mammalia; Artiodactyla; Bovidae
Source: Ensembl
GGGUGGCGUCUGUGAGCCAGAUCCUGUCUUCCCCGCUCAACAGCUGCGUGACCGCCAGCAGGUGACUUGCCUCUGUGUGUUCGUUUGAAAAAUAAGGGUGAUGAUUCUUCUGCCUUCUGAGAUGGAUUUUGCAGGAGAGCUCUAGGUUCAAACCUCAGAUCGGCCUAUGUAUCACUUGGCCAAGUCUCGUGUGUUUGUGUCAGCGUCUUGGAGCUGGGCUGCAGUUCGAUCUGUUUUGCCCAGCACGCUCAGCCAACACAGUGAAGCCGGGCACCUUGUGCAACAGGGCAGGUGUGUCUGCCUUUGCUCACCUCUUCUGCAUGUGGGUGAAACCCAGCAGCCCUCUCUGGGCAAGGAACGAGGAGCCUGGAGUGCCACCCCUGUGCAUGGGAGGAUCAGUGUGUUACACAGCAAAUUUGUGGGGACCAAUAGCCCAUAGGCAAGGAGUUUAUUUAUUAGAGGCUGUAGUCCUUCCAAAAGCAGAGACAUUACUUUGCCAACAAAGGUCCGUCUAGUCAAGGCUAUGGUUUUUCCUGUGAUCAUGUAUGGAUGUGAGAGUUGGACUAUGAAGAAGGCUGAGCACCGAAGAAUUGAUGCUUUUGAACUGUGGUGUUGGAGAAGACUCUUGAGAGUCCCUUGGACUGCAAGGAGAUCCAACCAGUCCAUUCUGAAGGAGAUCAGCCCUGGGAUUUCUUUGGAAGGAAUGAUGCUAAAGCUGAAACUCCAGUGCUUUGGCCACCUCAUGCGAAGAGUUGACUCAUUGGAAAAGACUCUGCUGCUGGGAGGGAUUGGGGGCAGGAGGAGAAGGGGACGACAGAGGAUGAGAUGGCUGGAUGGCAUCACUGACUCGAUGGACGUGAGUCUGAGUGAACUCCAGGAGCUGGUGAUGGACAGGGAGGCCUGGCACACUGCGAUUCAUGGGGUCGCAAAGAGCCGGACACGACUGAGUGACUGAACUGAACUGAUGCCUAUGUCAGAAGCUUUCUCUAUCUCCUUUAUACUUUAAUAAAACUGUAUUACACAAA